Molecule: ribosomal RNA, 453 nt
Filed under: uncultured bacterium
Lineage: Bacteria
Description: bacterial SSU rRNA
Rfam family: Bacterial small subunit ribosomal RNA
Source: RNAcentral
UACGGAAGGCAGCAGUGGGGAAUAUUGCACAAUGGGCGCAAGCCUGAUGCAGCCAUGCCGCGUGUAUGAAGAAGGCCUUCGGGUUGUAAAGUACUUUCAGUCGUGAGGAAGGUGUUAAGGUUAAUAACCUUAGCAGUUGACGUUAGCGACAGAAGAAGCACCGGCUAACUCCGUGCCAGCAGCCGCGGUAAUACGGAGGGUGCGAGCGUUAAUCGGAAUUACUGGGCGUAAAGGGCACGCAGGCGGUUAAUUAAGUUGGAUGUGAAAUCCCCGGGCUUAACCUGGGAAUGGCAUUCAAGACUGGUUAGCUAGAGUCUUGUAGAGGGGGUAGAAUUCCAUGUGUAGCGGUGAAAUGCGUAGAGAUGUGGAGGAAUACCGGUGGCGAAGGCGGCCCCUGGACAAAGACUGACGCUCAUGUGCGAAAGCGUGGGGAGCAAACAGGGAUUAGAUACC